CUUUCCCCGCAGGGCUGGGGGUCCGCUGUUUCCCCGCGCCGCUGCCGAGGCCCCGCUGUCCGCGUCCUGGCCGUGUGUCCACACCCCAGACUGCGGGCCGGGGCGCACUCUGUCUUCUUGCGCGGAGCGUCCGAGGCCUGAGGGGGCCAGAAGCAAACUCCAGCCCUCCCCGUGUCUACUGCUCGCUGAGGAAGCCGCAGGUGCACACUGGAUCCACAAGGCACAGAACCAUCUUCGCCCUCGGCAAGCCCCCGCUUCCGCCAGGGCAGACGGCCUCAGGUGACAAUGGGUUUUCCCUUCACUGGAGUUUAAAAUAAACCAGACUCCUCAGCAACUCCUGCUUCCAGAAUCAAAAAUAAGUGUCUCUGGGGCCCAAGGUAGGGGGUGAGGGGGACAUACCAGUAGCUUCCACCAGAGGUGGGGCGGGGCGGGGCAGGGCACCAGCGGAGAAAACAUGCGGGCAAACACACACGGCCUGGGGAAAACCCCCUGAAGCCGAUGGAGACUUGCCUUUGCUCAAGGCCUUUCCUGAGAGCUUAGUGGUGGGAGGGGUCCC
This 556-nucleotide small RNA is filed under the name Pan troglodytes (chimpanzee). RNAcentral describes it as "retained intron". Lineage: Eukaryota; Metazoa; Chordata; Mammalia; Primates; Hominidae. The record is from RNAcentral.